Molecule: ribosomal RNA, 30 nt
Filed under: Phlebotomus ariasi
Lineage: Eukaryota; Metazoa; Arthropoda; Insecta; Diptera; Psychodidae
Description: 2S ribosomal RNA
Source: RNAcentral
UGCAUGGACCACGUAUGGUUGAGUAUCGUA